This 422-nucleotide unclassified non-coding RNA is filed under the name Hevea brasiliensis (rubber tree). Lineage: Eukaryota; Viridiplantae; Streptophyta; Magnoliopsida; Malpighiales; Euphorbiaceae. The record is from RNAcentral.
GGAAGUGAAAGAAAUCGAGGAAAGGAGUAAGAGAGUAAGGAUUGAGGAGGAAAUGAGAGAGAGAUUAAGUGAAAAAGAGAAAGAGAUAUUUCAGUACAAGGAUAGAUUCCUGGAACUGGAGAAGGAGGUGGCAGAGAAGGAGAAGAAAUUGAGGGCCUCGGAGGAGAAGGUGAGGGAAAUGGAAGAGAAGAUGGUGGAGCUACAGAAGGAGGUGGAGGAAGCAGAAAAGGUGAUUGGUGGAGUGAAGGAGAGGACUGUAGAUGCAAUUAAUGGCAUUCAAGUUGAGGGCAUAGAUAAGUGGUCUAAUGGGCUGAAGAUGCCGUGGCCGGUACUGGCUGUGGGUUCAACAGGUGCUAUCGCUGCCGCAGCUGCUGUGGUUUAUGUUUGCUAUGCUAGGCGGACGUAAUUGAGAGGUUAGGGUU